GCCACCGGGGAUCCCUCCCUCUGUCUCAGUCUCCCAACCACCAAGAGCCAAGUGCUCCCGAGAAGAAGAUCUUUCGGACAGAUCCAAACACAGGGGCACCGCCAGGGUAGCGGUGCGGCUAGUCCCGCUGCCUUACCUGGAGCAAGGACCAGGAGGUGGUGCCGGUCUCGGUCCCCUCCGCUCUCCCCGGUGCGGACCGGUGAGCGGCACACGCGGACUCUCUCGCUGCCUCCGCUCUCGGAGGGGCAGCCUGUAACACAAAAGGGGUGUGUGGGUGUGGGUGUGUGGGAGGUUUUCCAGGGCCACCAGCUGGUCCCAGCCGGCCGCCCCCACCCUACACACACACCCCUGGAGGGUGCUGAGCCCCUCUCUGCGCUGAGCACCACCCCGGGAGCGUGCCCAGGGUGCAGCCUCAAGUUGCUGCUGCUAAGUGCCGCUGCCGCCGCAGGAGAGGGAGGUGGAAAGACACUGGGGGCAGUACUCGGUCUAGAGCAUCCCCACACUGCAGCUUCUCCAGGAAUCCCUCCACUGAGGAGGCGGCCGCCCAUCAUCUCCCAGCCCCGGCAGCCUGAUUGGUUCCAGCACGAGUACGCUGCGUCCAGGAGCCAAUCCGCGCGCACUAAUAAUAGGUGGAUCCGCUCGGCCAGCAUCGCCCAUCCCAGUUCUGUUGGUGUCUCUCCAUCCCCUCAGCGGACAGGGACCCGAGAGGGGGAUGGAGGGGUGGGGGAGGGGGGCGAACUCAGAGGGGAACAGUUCCCAAGGAGACACAAUCAAGGGCAUCUGAUAAGCCCCUGGGUAGGCUCAGGGAUGCCCCGCAACCUGUUCAGCAAGCCGUUGGCACGGGAGGAGACACAGCACAAUACAAAGCUUUUUUUUUUUUUUUUUUUGUUUUUUUACUCAAAACCUGCCCUGAUACUGAGCAUGCCCAGACUGCCACAGUGCCCUAGGAGUUUCGAUGUGUGUGGGUUCGCCGGCCGUGGGUUCGGUUUUUUGAAAAGGUGGGCGCGCAGGGAAGGGAGACAGGCAGAAGUUUGUCUUUGGCCGUUUGACCCAGCCGAGUUGGGAAAGCAGGGCAGGGAGGGGACUGAAAGGAGGCUGCGCAAGUGUGCUCCAGCCGAGCUGCAGGGAGGUGGCCCUGGAGGCGGUGGGAGGCUAAUCAGAUCGUUCCCUCGCGGGGACCCCAGGCUUGGAAGCGGGAGUAGGAAACCACUGCAAGCCGAGAGACAGGAGACUCGCCCCGAAGGGUGCGGUGGCCCAAAGAUGCAGGCGAAGCUGCGUCCCAUAGGUGGGGCCGGGGAGCAGGACUCCACCCAGCAGCCGCGGCUCCAGGCGCUGGAGAGCGCCCUGGGAGUUUCCACUGCGGCGACCCCUAAGUUUGUAGACUUGGGUCCAGCGUGA
Molecule: long non-coding RNA, 1398 nt
Filed under: Oryctolagus cuniculus (rabbit)
Lineage: Eukaryota; Metazoa; Chordata; Mammalia; Lagomorpha; Leporidae
Description: lncRNA (ENSOCUG00000034170.1)
Source: RNAcentral